Zootermopsis nevadensis is the source of this 1871-nucleotide non-coding RNA. NCBI's taxonomy places the organism in Eukaryota, Metazoa, Arthropoda, Insecta, Blattodea, Termopsidae. The record is from RefSeq and is a predicted model, not a curated record.
AGAUAGGAGCAUGCCAUUGGUUGUAUUGAUGUCGCGUGAAUUUAAAUUAUAAACUACAACAUUUCUUUUUACCAUGGAUUAAAACUCAGUUUUGUCACGAAACACUGAAAAUUGCACUGUCAGUCUAGCGUUUCCGGUGUCAGCAAAUGAUUCUUGCACAAUGACGCACGUUCGUCACCACAGCAGAGAACUACACAGAGAAUAGAGACCAUGUGAUUGCCCUCAUUGUGGUUGUUCCUUCACUCAGCAUUCUGCAAUGUGCAGUCAUCAAAAGAUACAUCUUGAAUCAAAGGUCAGGUGUGCUGUCUGUGUGGAAAAACAUUCAUAGAACACAGCACAUUGCUCUGGCAUUGUAGAAAACACACUGGGAUAAACAAUCUGUCACAUGCAGCAGAAUGUGGGAAGCAGUAUGAAUGUACAGAGUGUAACAAGAUCUUCACCGAGAACUCCAUGUUGUACUACCACAAGAGAAGUGACUCCGGACUGAAACCAUUUGAAUGAAAUGUCUGUCAUCGCACGCUCCAUGUAAAGCACAACCUCAAGACUCAUAUGGUGUGGUAUGGUGGAGACUUCGUCUAAAGGCCUUCGCCAUUGUUCAGAAUACUAAAUCCUGAAGACAAACGGGGUUUGGAGCAGUCGCGGACGGGCCCUGCGAUAAUACAAGACGAAAUUAUUCAGUGCCUCCCAACACCUGCAGCUAUGGCACUGAAUUUGGAUACGAAACAUGGUUGUAACAGUUUCCUAAGAGACGGCUUGAAGUCAAAGCCAGAAGCAUUCGGAAUGGAAUUCGCCUUCCUUGAAGUGCCUGAGAUGACAUGACACAGAAUACAGUUUGAAGAAAGACUGAAGUGUUGAAGAGUCCAACUUGAUUUGAGGUCCUUGUGACGGUGAGUCCCGAAGAUGGCAGUCUUCUUGGUGUAGUCUGCUGGAAGACAGAAACGAGGUUUCCGGUAAGUUCCCACAGAGGCAAAGAACACGUCUGUCUAUUUUAUGAGCAUCUCCACAGCAGAAUAUUAUCAGGAAGCCCGUGUUUAUUCCCCGACAAACAAGUCGUUUCGUCCGUUGCGACGUAGUGCCCUGGUGUCAGAACGAGCUCCGGGCAAUGAGGUGCAGAUUUCGAAGAGCGUGUUACUUGAAGCCCCAGAGAGCAGCUCAGCGCGAUGAACGUACAUCAGCACGUGCCAUUGCCGCUGGGUAACUUGCCCGGUCUUUAUCCAUUCCGAACUACUCAGCAUGUGUAAGACUUGAUGGCUGUAUAGUUUACGGACGUUUCAGAGUUCCUUGCUGCCUCCGUCAUCAGGACGAUGAUUGUAGAUAGACUUCAUGAUUGUGAUGGUCGGAGGUUGGUGGAACUGACUCAGUGUCAUGGACCAGUGGCGAUGAUGAAACUAAAGAGUUCUGUUUCGACGUACAUGGUUAAUAGUUAUAACGUCAGUGUGUCUACGGUGGUGGUGGUCCGAAAAUUACGAAUUCCUCUUCAGUCUGACGACACGUGUGGCCGCUGCUCCGGAAGUGUUCGUGUGCCCCAGACGGUGUCGUGUUGCUGUGCUCAGUUCCCUGAUUUCAUCUCGCACAUAUCCGCUCGAAGCAGCUCAGGGGGUGGGUUCUGUUCAGCGUUUGCAUGGCUUUGUGUGCGAGCGGUAUCAGUAGCCGUAUUCUACGGCGACCACCGCCACCAGACGGCAUUGCGAUGCUAUCGGUCGCUGAAGCUCUCUCGCUGAUUAGUCAGGGGCGUGGGCCCAGGCUGCUUCACACUCAGCUCGACCUAUUUGACUCCUGCAAACAAAAAAGUUCUUUACAAUUCUAACCAGCCGCUGGUUAGUUAAAUGGAGCUGGCUGGCUGGUGCACCGGUCAGUGUGAUUACAGCAUC